CUGCCUACGGGAGGCAGCAGUGGGGAAUAUUGCGCAAUGGGCGAAAGCCUGACGCAGCGACGCCGCGUGAGGGAUGAAGGUCUUCGGAUCGUAAACCUCUGUCAGCAGGGAAGAACGGUCACUGUGCUAAUCAGCAGUGAAUUGACGGUACCUGCAAAGGAAGCACCGGCUAACUCCGUGCCAGCAGCCGCGGUAAUACGGAGGGUGCGAGCGUUAAUCGGAAUUCCUGGGCGUAAAGCGCUCGUAGGCGGUAUAUCAAGUCAAGGGUGAAAUCCCCGCGGCUCAACCGCGGAACUGCAUCUAAA
This 305-nucleotide ribosomal RNA is filed under the name uncultured bacterium. Its description in RNAcentral is "bacterial SSU rRNA". It matches the Rfam family "Bacterial small subunit ribosomal RNA", at positions 335 to 631 of the family's 1533-position model. The record is from RNAcentral.